GAUGAUGACAACGAUGACGAUAGUGGCAAUCAUUUAUUAAGCAUUGCCCUGGCCUAAGACACCACAUGGGUCAUUUCUUCCAGGCUCCAACUUGCUUCUGCUUUGCCAUAUGGUAACACGCCGUAUUAUGGAAGCACCAUCAUUACCGCCAUUUGCAGGGGAAGCCUAAAGAGAUAAAUGCCAGCCAGCAUCCCUGUCUCUGGGGCCCUGGAGAGGCCUUCAACACACCUGGCCUCACUGCCCUGUGGCUUCAACAAAGAGGCCGAGCAUCUCCUAUAAACCUUGAGGUCCAUGGAUGACAUAGCGGAAUGAUGGAUUUCAGAAAAGCACACUGCUGUUACGACUCCAGAACCGAUAAGGAAGCUAUGUGUGGAAGUAUGAGCUCAGGUCGCCUUCUGACCCUCUGUGACGGUCUAUUUCAGGCAGUUAUGGAUAGAUAACAUUACAGACACUGGUAAUUAAAACAACACUAAUUUUGUCUCUGUGGUCACGCUUUGUUGUUAGAAGCCAUCUAUCAUGGCCUUCACGCAUCACGCAAUGAGAAGACAUUUGUCUACGUACAUUGUGCUUGGUCAACGGUUUUACGGAUUUCCCCGCGUACCUGGACACCCAGGCACUUUUAAAGACGUACUGCCUUCAUUUCUACUCUAUUACUCUGAUUAAUAAAACAUUUUGCAUGCUUCAUCAAAACA
This 692-nucleotide long non-coding RNA is filed under the name Homo sapiens (human). RNAcentral's name for it is "HSALNT0397386". The record is from RNAcentral. Lineage: Eukaryota; Metazoa; Chordata; Mammalia; Primates; Hominidae.